Non-coding RNA from Acanthosepion pharaonis, 108 nucleotides. The record is from the annotation of a GenBank genome assembly. NCBI's taxonomy places the organism in Eukaryota, Metazoa, Mollusca, Cephalopoda, Sepiida, Sepiidae.
GCCAUAUCUCGUUGAAGUAACGGUUCGCGUACGAUCACCGAAUUUAAGCAAAGUAGGCCGUGGUCAGUACCUAGAUGGGUGACCUCUUGCAAAUUCCAGGUGCUGUUA